RNAcentral lists this ribosomal RNA (253 nucleotides) under uncultured bacterium. RNAcentral describes it as "partial 16S ribosomal RNA". It matches the Rfam family "Bacterial small subunit ribosomal RNA", at positions 524 to 776 of the family's 1533-position model. The record is from RNAcentral.
UACAGAGGGUGCAAGCGUUAAUCGGAAUUACUGGGCGUAAAGCGUGCGUAGACGGUUAUAUAAGUCGGGUGUGAAAGCCCCGGGCUCAACCUGGGAAUUGCAUUCGAGACUGUGUAGCUAGGGUGCGGAAGAGGGAAGCGGAAUUUCCGGUGUAGCGGUGAAAUGCGUAGAUAUCGGAAGGAACAUCAGUGGCGAAAGCGGCUUCCUGGUCCAGCACCGACGUUCAGGCACGAAAGCGUGGGGAGCAAACAGG